ACAACUUUGUUAGAAGUGCUGGUGAUAGCUUUCUAGGGUUGUUUGUUGUUCCUUGCUUGAUGCUAGAGGCACUUUGCUGGAACUCAGAGUGGCAUCUGUUGCUCUGGAUUCUGCUCUUUUUUUCUCCUCCAAAAUGAGUUCAAGUGUGAAUUAUCUGCAAGUUGUGGGAACUUCUGUUUUGCUUGUGGUAUCCAGAAUGCAAUGCUGAGUCUGGUUAGCCCUGAGGGGAGUGAAACCUGUGGCUGGGUGCUGUGUUACAAAUAACUCCAGACACAGCUCUGCAGAUGGAACGUGCCUUGGCUUUUACUAGUUCCUCGUUGUCCUAGGAAACGAGACAUUAAUACUGAACGUCACAAAAAGAGGAGGGUCAGGUUGGAGGUGCCAUCUUGUCACAGCAAUGUGUGCCAAAGUGACAAAGAUUUGUGUCUUUUUUUCAUUUUGGACAGCUCUCCCACACUGAGGUGAGUUAGUGCAGCCAUGUACCCUUAGAGGAGGCAUCUCUGGAUGUGGAGGUGGGGAAUUACCCAGAAUACAGGGCUGAAUCAGGCUUUUGUCCUAGGCAGCCUUUAUGCAUGUGGCUUAAAAUGGAUUUGUAUGCCAGGCUAGGAGGAAAUUGGGCUGUUCUUCCUGCCUGGGUAACAACAUCCCAUCGUGGUUGAAUAGCUCAGUACUCGUAGGUGUUGCCCUCCCAUGUUUUUGUCAUGUUAAAGUAGCAUGUUAGUGAGUGACUACAGGAAAACAAGAUGCACAUGCAGACUCCUUCUUUAGUGUAUUGGGGAUUGCUUCACACCCGCCGCUUGUAACUCUGUGAGGGAGAAAGGGGCAGCAGAAGGGAGAAGGGUUUUGGCAAACGAGAGGGAAGGAACAGAGCUACUAAAUGACCUGCUUGACCAUCCGUGCCACUGAGAAAGCUCCUCUUCUCACUGCAUGCUUCUUCCUGUGCAGGAGGAGAGGAGCUUUGUCUGUCUGGGGCUGGAGGUGG
Long non-coding RNA from Oxyura jamaicensis (ruddy duck), 982 nucleotides. RefSeq lists it as uncharacterized. The transcript has 3 exons. The record is from RefSeq and is a predicted model, not a curated record. NCBI's taxonomy places the organism in Eukaryota, Metazoa, Chordata, Aves, Anseriformes, Anatidae.